CUGAUCUCAAAUCAGGUAGGACUACCCGCUGAACU
This 35-nucleotide ribosomal RNA is filed under the name Thanatephorus cucumeris. RNAcentral describes it as "partial 25S ribosomal RNA". The record is from RNAcentral. Lineage: Eukaryota; Fungi; Basidiomycota; Agaricomycetes; Cantharellales; Ceratobasidiaceae.